AAGGAUUUAAGUUAAAUAAACCAAUAGUCUUCAAAACUAUGAAUAAAGAUCCAUCUUUAAGCCUUA
Molecule: transfer RNA, 66 nt
Filed under: Meropathus sp. BMNH 675618
Lineage: Eukaryota; Metazoa; Arthropoda; Insecta; Coleoptera; Hydraenidae
Description: tRNA-Trp
Source: RNAcentral